CUACGGGAUGCAGCAGUGGGGAAUAUUGCGCAAUGGACGAAAGUCUGACGCAGCGACGCCGCGUGAGGGACGAAGGUCUUCGGAUUGUAAACCUCUUUCAGUAGGGACGAAGCGAAAGUGACGGUACCUAAAGAAGAAGCACCGGCUAACUAUGUGCCAGCAGCCGCGGUAAUACAUAGGGUGCAAGCGUUGUCCGGAUUUAUUGGGCGUAAAGAGUUCGUAGGCGGUUUAUCGCGUCGGGUGUGAAAACUCAGGGCUUAACCCUGAGCCUGCACUCGAUACGGGUUUACUUGAGGACGGCAGGGGAGACUGGAACUCCUGGUGUAGCGGUGGAAUGCGCAGAUAUCAGGAAGAACACCAAUGGCGAAGGCAGGUCUCUGGGCCGAUUCUGACGCUGAGGAACGAAAGCGUGGGGAGCAAACAGGAUUAGAUACCCGCGUAGUC
RNAcentral lists this ribosomal RNA (444 nucleotides) under uncultured bacterium. RNAcentral describes it as "partial 16S ribosomal RNA". It matches the Rfam family "Bacterial small subunit ribosomal RNA", at positions 339 to 795 of the family's 1533-position model. The record is from RNAcentral.